RNAcentral lists this ribosomal RNA (141 nucleotides) under Scopura montana. RNAcentral's name for it is "partial 12S ribosomal RNA". Lineage: Eukaryota; Metazoa; Arthropoda; Insecta; Plecoptera; Scopuridae. The record is from RNAcentral.
CACGGAGGGUGCGAAUAAAUGUUGUCAGUUAAUAGUUAUAUUUGUAUUUUAGAGAUUAAUAGUGAAUUUAUUAGGUGAAAUUUUAAAUUUAAAGUAAUUUCUGUAAAAAUAUAGAAGCUGUGAAAUUUAAACGUUAGACUA